UUAAUUUUUGUAGGAAAAUCCGCAGAGAUUGUCGAAGGUGAUAGUAGGGAUCCCUCUGGGUGAACGAAAGACUCUAAGCCUGCUCCCAAGAAAAACUUCUAAGCUUCAGAUUAAUAUAAUCCGUACCGCAAACCGACACAGGUAGUCAAGAAGGAUAUUCUAAGGCGCUCGAGUGAUCCGUGGCUAAGGAAUUAGGCAAAUUAACCCCGUAACUUUGGAAUAAGGGGAUCCCGCGUUAGCGCGGGACGCAGAUAAAUGGCUCAGGCGACUGUUUAACAAAAACACAUGGCUUUGCAAAAUCGAAAGAUGAAGUAUAAGGCCUGACACCUGCCCGGUGCUGGAAGGUUAAGAGGAGAUGUCAGUCGCAAGACGAAGCAUUGAAUUGAAGCCCCAGUAAACGGCGGCCGUAACUAUAACGGUCCUAAGGUAGCGAAAUUCCUUGUCGGGUAAGUUCCGACCUGCACGAAUGGUGUAACGAUCUGAGCACUGUCUCAGCCACGAGCUCGGUGAAAUUGUAGUCUCGGUGAAGAUGCCGAGUACCCGCAACGGGACGGAAAGACCCCGUGCACCUUCACUAUAACUUAGCAUUGAUAUUGGAUUUUUGAUGUGUAGGAUAGGUGGGAGACUUUGAACCGGAGGCGCCAGCUUUCGGGGAGUCAACCUUGAAAUACCACCCUUUAAACAUUUGAUAUCUAACUCCUGGAUAGGAGGACAUUGCUUGGUGGGUAGUUUGACUGGGGUGGCCGCCUCCAAAAAAGUAUCGGAGGCUUCUAAAGGUACCCUCAACACGCUUGGUAACCGUGUGUAGAGUGCAAUGGCAUAAGGGUGCUUAACUGUAAGACCUACAAGUCAAGCAGAUACGAAAGUAGAGCAUAGUGAUCCGGUGGUUCCGAAUGGAAGGGCCAUCGCUCAAAGGAUAAAAGGUACGCCGGGGAUAACAGGCUGAUCUCCCCCAAGAGCUCACAUCGACGGGGAGGUUUGGCACCUCGAUGUCGGCUCGUCACGUCCUGGGGCUGGAGAAGGUCCCAAGGGUUGGGCUGUUCGCCCAUUAAAGUGGCACGCGAGCUGGGUUCAGAACGUCGCGAGACAGUUCGGUCCCUAUCUGUUGUGGGCGCUUGAAAUUUGAGAGGACCUGACCUUAGUACGAGAGGACCGGGUUGGACGAACCUCUAGUGUGCCAGUUGUAUCGCCAGAUGCAUCGCUGGGUAGCUAUGUUCGGACGAAAUAAGCGCUGAAAGCAUCUAAGCGCGAAAUUCACCUCAAGAUGAGAUUUCUUAGAAC
Molecule: ribosomal RNA, 1281 nt
Filed under: metagenome
Description: bacterial LSU rRNA
Rfam family: Bacterial large subunit ribosomal RNA
Source: RNAcentral